CUAAAGAGCAAGAUAAUUUCAAGAAAGAGAAAGAAGAAGCUGCUUACCGGAAAGAGAGAGCUGAAGUCUUGUUUCUGAAUCAAGUUAUUGAGCUGCUCUCUCGAGCUGAUGCUGCACGAGAUUAUGAGGAAGUGAGAAGCCAGUACUUCCAGAGAGUUAGCAUUAUAGAAGGAUAUGACCCUAAAGAAGAAUACAUUCAACCAUUUAAACCUUUAUUUUGUUGUAUAAGUGGAACGAUAAUGGUAGAUCCUGUAAGCCUAUGCACCGGUACUGCCUGUGAGAGAGCGUCUCUUCAAGCUUGGUUCAGCUCGGGGGAGAAACUGAUCCCGAAACAGGUGAAGAACUGCAGAAUUUAUCCUUCAGGCCAAAUCUUCAAUUGAGGCACUUAAUCGAGGAGUGGAAAGAGCUCAACUAUUGCAUCAAAAUCAGGGCUUGCAAGGGGAAAUUGCUUUCUGAGGUCGAUGCAUUGAUGCUGCACGAGAUUAUGAGGAAGUCAGAAGCCAGUACUUCCAGAGAGUUAGCAUUAUAGAAGGAUAUGACCCUAAAGAAGAAUACAUUCAACCAUUUAAACCUUUAUUUUGUUGUAUAAGUGGAACGAUAAUGGUAGAUCCUGUAAGCCUAUGCACCGGUACUGCCUGUGAGAGAGCGUCUCUUCAAGCUUGGUUCAGCUCGGGGGAGAAACUGAUCCCGAA
RNAcentral lists this long non-coding RNA (692 nucleotides) under Nicotiana benthamiana. RNAcentral's name for it is "long non-coding RNA (NBEN_LNC013938)". The record is from RNAcentral. Lineage: Eukaryota; Viridiplantae; Streptophyta; Magnoliopsida; Solanales; Solanaceae.